This 72-nucleotide small nuclear RNA is filed under the name Cryptosporidium parvum. The record is from RNAcentral. Lineage: Eukaryota; Apicomplexa; Conoidasida; Eucoccidiorida; Cryptosporidiidae.
GGCUUUCUUUGGUUAUUUUUUUGCUCUGUCCUCCCCCAAUGUACUUACUAAAGUUGUAGUCCUUUUUUUUUU